GACGAACCGUGCGAACGUUAUUCGGAAUCACUGGGCUUAAAGCGCGUGUAGGCGGGCCGGCACGUCCGAGGCUGAAAUCCCCCGGCUCAACCGGGGAACUGGCCCGGAUACGACCGGCCUGGAGGGGGGUAGGGGAAUCGGGAACUCACGGUGGAGCGGUGAAAUGCGUUGAGAUCGUGAGGAACGCCCGCGGCGAAAGCGCGGUUCUGGACCCCACCUGACGCUGAGACGCGAAAGCCAGGGGAGCGAACGGG
RNAcentral lists this ribosomal RNA (254 nucleotides) under uncultured bacterium. Its description in RNAcentral is "partial 16S ribosomal RNA". It matches the Rfam family "Bacterial small subunit ribosomal RNA", at positions 524 to 776 of the family's 1533-position model. The record is from RNAcentral.